UCUUCAUUUCACGUGCUCUCUCUCAUCGGUCAGAGUGACGAGAGAGUGUGGGAAAUGAAGAGA
Molecule: microRNA precursor, 63 nt
Filed under: Pristionchus pacificus
Lineage: Eukaryota; Metazoa; Nematoda; Chromadorea; Rhabditida; Neodiplogasteridae
Description: mir-8364 microRNA precursor family
Rfam family: mir-8364 microRNA precursor family
Source: Rfam by way of RNAcentral